RNAcentral lists this ribosomal RNA (468 nucleotides) under uncultured bacterium. RNAcentral describes it as "partial 16S ribosomal RNA". It matches the Rfam family "Bacterial small subunit ribosomal RNA", at positions 28 to 523 of the family's 1533-position model. The record is from RNAcentral.
GACGAACGCUGGCGGCGUGCUUAACACAUGCAAGUCGAGCGAUUCUCUUCGGAGAAGAGCGGCGGACGGGUGAGUAACGCGUGGGUAACCUGCCCUGUACACACGGAUAACAUACCGAAAGGUAUGCUAAUACGGGAUAAUAUGCUUUAGUCGCAUGGCUGAAGUAUCAAAGCUCCGGCGGUACAGGAUGGACCCGCGUCUGAUUAGCUAGUUGGUAAGGUAACGGCUUACCAAGGCGACGAUCAGUAGCCGACCUGAGAGGGUGAUCGGCCACAUUGGAACUGAGACACGGUCCAAACUCCUACGGGAGGCAGCAGUGGGGAAUAUUGCACAAUGGGCGAAAGCCUGAUGCAGCAACGCCGCGUGAGCGAUGAAGGCCUUCGGGUCGUAAAGCUCUGUCCUCAAGGAAGAUAAUGACGGUACUUGAGGAGGAAGCCCCGGCUAACUACGUGCCAGCCGCCGCCGUAA